UACAGAGGUCUCAAGCGUUGUUCGGAUUCAUUGGGCGUAAAGGGUGCGUAGGUGGCGUGGUAAGUCGGGUGUGAAAUUUCGGAGCUUAACUCCGAAACUGCAUUCGAUACUGCGGUGCUUGAGGACUGGAGAGGAGACUGGAAUUUACGGUGUAGCAGUGAAAUGCGUAGAGAUCGUAAGGAAGACCAGUGGCGAAGGCGGGUCUCUGGACAGUUCCUGACACUGAGGCACGAAGGCCAGGGGAGCAAACGGG
This 253-nucleotide ribosomal RNA is filed under the name uncultured bacterium. RNAcentral's name for it is "partial 16S ribosomal RNA". It matches the Rfam family "Bacterial small subunit ribosomal RNA", at positions 524 to 776 of the family's 1533-position model. The record is from RNAcentral.